RNAcentral lists this non-coding RNA (45 nucleotides) under Schistosoma mansoni. The record is from RNAcentral. Lineage: Eukaryota; Metazoa; Platyhelminthes; Trematoda; Strigeidida; Schistosomatidae.
AUCCUACUGACCAGUCCCGGACAGGACGAAACGUACGUCUUGGAU